RNAcentral lists this long non-coding RNA (1099 nucleotides) under Felis catus (domestic cat). RNAcentral describes it as "lncRNA (ENSFCAG00000040234.2)". Lineage: Eukaryota; Metazoa; Chordata; Mammalia; Carnivora; Felidae. The record is from RNAcentral.
AGUAGGCAUGUUCCUUCCCCUCCGUUGGCCUCAAUAACACUGGCUUCACCUGGGGGCGCCUGGGUGGCUCAGUCGGUUGAGGGUCCGACCUCAGCUCAGGUCACGGUCUCGCAGUUCGUGGGUUCGAGCCCCGCGUCGGGCUCUGUGCUAACAAACAGCUCGGAGCCUGGCACUUGCUUCGGAUUCUGUAUCUCUCUCUCUCUCUCUUUCCCCCUUCCCUGCUCAUGCUCUGCCUCUGUGUGUCUCUCAAAAGUAAAUAAAUGUUAAAAAAUUAAAAAAAAAAACUGGCUUCACCUUGAACAUCGCCUCCUCCAGGAAGCCUCCCCUGAUGUUAUAGUCUGGAUUAGAUGCCUCCUUGUGUUCUUCCCCUUCUCCCCCGGGGUCAGCAGGCAUGACCAGACAGCGAAUUCCAUGAAAGUCAAAGACGGAUUUUGUCUAAGUCAUCACUGCUCCACUCUGCCUAGGACAUGACCUUCAGGAGGUGGUUGUGGAAUGAAUAAAUAAAGAGGCAGGUGCCCUCCAGAAUCCUGCUCAGCUCUGGCCUCCUUCGGUUCUUCAUCCCUGGAGCUUUGGGGCAGAAAUCACUUGGAAAAGCUUUGAUGAUCAUCCCAGAACGUCGCCUAACUUUUCCGUGCCUUGGUUUCCUCCCGUGUGAGGGUUGGAAUGCCACACAUCAGUCUGAACCCAACUCUUGAUGGAGCCAAGGCUGAUCUUCUACCGAACACAAGCCCCAGGAAGGCAGUUCAUCCAGUUCACAGCCAGACGCCAAGGGGGGCACGAAGAGCCUGGAAUGCCGGCCCAGCCCUUGAGAAGCUGACAGCUGGUAGGAGUCGCCACGACCCGGAACAAAGCUCUUGGGCCUUGGACCCAUCAAACCUGAUUCCCCAAACUGGCUCCAGUACUCACCAGGUCCUUGUCCUGGGGCCAUGCACUUGGCCUCCCUGAACUCAUGUGCUCGUCUGUGUAAUGGGGCACCUGAUAUCAGCGCCGAGGGCUGUCGGCAGGAUUAAAGGAGAAGCACGCAACUGCUCCAGCACAAUGCCUGACACGCACAAGGGCUCACUUAGUAAGUGGUUGUGAGGAUUAACUUCACCGUUAG